GCUCGCAUGGGCCACUGAGGAAAGAUCUAUCGGUCUGGGAGGGUCUCGCGGCCUAUCAGCUAGUUGGUGAGGUAACGGCUCACCAAGGCUACGACGGGUAGCUGGUUUGAGAGAACGAUCAGCCACACUGGAACUGAGACAUGGUCCAGACUCCUACGGGAGGCAGCAGUGGGGAAUCUUGCGCAAUGGGCGAAAGCCUGACGCAGCAACGCCGCGUGCGGGAUGACGGCCUUCGGGUUGUAAACCGCUUUCAGCAGGGACGAAAAUGACGGUACCUGCAGAAGAAGCUCCGGCUAACUACGUGCCAGCAGCCGCGGUAAUACGUAGGGAGCAAGCGUUGUCCGGAUUUAUUGGGCGUAAAGAGCUCGUAGGCGGUUCCGUAAGUCGAGUGUGAAAAAUCUGGGCUCAACCCAGUGGAGCACUCGAUACUGCGGUGACUAGAGUCCGGUAGGGGAGUGUGGAAUUCCUGGUGUAGCGGUGAAAUGCGCAG
RNAcentral lists this ribosomal RNA (490 nucleotides) under uncultured bacterium. Its description in RNAcentral is "bacterial SSU rRNA". It matches the Rfam family "Bacterial small subunit ribosomal RNA", at positions 184 to 693 of the family's 1533-position model. The record is from RNAcentral.